AUACGGAGGAUCCGAGCGUUAUCCGGAUUUAUUGGGUUUAAAGGGAGCGUAGGUGGACAGUUAAGUCAGUUGUGAAAGUUUGCGGCUCAACCGUAAAAUUGCAGUUGAUACUGGUUGUCUUGAGUACAGUAGAGGUGGGCGGAAUUCGUGGUGUAGCGGUGAAAUGCUUAGAUAUCACGAAGAACUCCGAUUGCGAAGGCAGCUCACUGGACUGCAACUGACACUGAUGCUCGAAAGUGUGGGUAUCAAACAGGAUUAGAUACCCUGGUAGUCCACACAGUAAACGAUGAAUACUCGCUGUUUGCGAUAUACAGUAAGCGGCCAAGCGAAAGCAUUAAGUAUUCCACCUGGGGAGUACGCCGGCAACGGUGAAACUCAAAGGAAUUGACGGG
Molecule: ribosomal RNA, 392 nt
Filed under: uncultured bacterium
Lineage: Bacteria
Description: partial 16S ribosomal RNA
Rfam family: Bacterial small subunit ribosomal RNA
Source: RNAcentral